Sapajus apella (tufted capuchin) is the source of this 7817-nucleotide RNA transcript. It is a transcript of the gene named rotatin, with no coding region annotated. The transcript has 47 exons. The record is from RefSeq and is a predicted model, not a curated record. NCBI's taxonomy places the organism in Eukaryota, Metazoa, Chordata, Mammalia, Primates, Cebidae.
UCGCAGCGGGCCCGGAGCUCGGUGCAGGGAGCACGGCCGAGCCAGGACUACAACUCCCGACGUGCGUGGCGGCCAACGCGAGUUCUAUAUCUUGCCUUUUGCUUUAUUCUUCCCCCUUUUUGCGACGGAGACUGCAGUCCAGGAAGUGCGCAGUAGUGAUUCUAGUGAGGCUGUAAGCUAACCUAGCGACGCCAGGGCUGUGAACGGCUCACGGAAUGUCUGUUUCUCCUGCACGGCGCACACACUGCGGAACCCACCGUCCCACUGGCCGCGUUUCCGGAGGACAUUAAUUGUGGCCGGACGCAGUGGCGCGGCAGUUUAAUUCUCCGGCGGCGGCAGGUUAAGGGGACGAGAUGGUCCCGGCGGGACUCAUCAGGAAACUCGGUCAUCAGCUGGCCGAGAUCAGGGAGCGCGCUCUGAAGAGUAUUCUCUGCAAGAUUGAGCACAACUUAAUCUGCCACGCUGAUCUCAUUCAGGAGAGGCAACUUUUUCUUCAUUUGCUGCAAUGGUUCAAUUUCCCGUCCGUUCCAAUGAAGGAAGAGGUUCUCAAUCUGUUAAGCAGAUUGGUUAAGUAUCCCCCAGCAGUCCAACAUUUGGUUGAUUUUGGUGCAGUAGAGUUCUUAUCUCAGCUUCGAUCUAAUGUGGAGCCAAAUCUGCAAGCUGAAAUUGAUGGCAUUCUGGAUGGACUUUUUAUUCUUCCUUCGGAAGUUCCUGCACCAUCUUCUGCCACAUACCAAACCAAUCAAAUGGAAUUAUCAAAAAACCCUGAAAUCUUAACAGGAUAUUUUCCCCAAGAUAAAAGUAAUUUCCAGCAGAUGGAAGUGCCGCCACGACCAGUGGUAAAUCAGACCGUGAAGUGUUUGAAGUUUUCUGUAUUUCCUUGGCUACCCCUGACCACCACAGAUAGACAUGUUCUCUCCUCUAAUGAAAGCUCUUUAAGAAGUAGUAACCACACUUUAAUCUGGAACACCUGUGAACUAUUGAAGGACGUUAUCAUGCAAGAUUUUCCUGCUGAGAUUUUUCUUCAAAGGCCAAAAAUUGUUCAGAGCCUUUUAUCUCUGUUGAAACUGGCCUUUGGAGGAGAUGGAAAGCAUCGCCUGGCAUUACAGUCAGUGUCCUGCCUGCAGCAGCUGUGCAUAUAUUUAAGAAACAGACUUAACUUUCACCGAGAUCCAGGUUUUUUCUCCAAUAAACAGGACACAGUUUCCCAAAAUUCUUCUUUAUCUUACUGUCAUGAAGCAAGAGGUACUCAUCAUUCCCAGAAUCCUUCCCCCGGAAGCAGCAGCCCUCGGCCUUCAGUGGUUGGGCGCACAGGCCAGCGACCCAGAGGAGAUGGCCAGGAUUGGGAUGCAGUGUCUUCGAGUGGAAGUAGUAGUCACGCUCAUAUAAACUCUAGGAUAUCUGUUCAUUCACCUUUGGAUAUGGGACACAUAGAUCUGCCAGAGCUGGAAACUGAAGACACAUUGGAACUACAAUUCCAGCAGCUCAGUCUUCCCCAGUUUUGUGUAUCAAUUCUGGAAUCAGCUGUUCCUCUCUUAAGAACUGGUAGCAGACAAAUGAUAAUAAGAGUUCUGGAAUUGCUUGCAGAGGAUAUGACCCUUAUUGGUGAAGCAGUUUCAGCAGAUAUCUGGGAUGACAGCAGCCUUUUUGGUAUAGAUAUGAAAGAGAAACUGCUCCUGGUGUUGGGAGCCCUUGGAGAAACUAUGUGCUACCAUAAGAGUAGUGUCAGUUUGGAACAAUCAGAGGUGAUGCUUGUGCACCACAGAAUGGCCUUUAUCAGCAUUUCACUGUUUGCAGUUCGACUAUUACAAAUGCUUCUCCCUGUUGAAAAGGCAAGCAAGUUUUUACCAGAGCCCAUGUCAGCAGCGUUAUUUCUCCUUUCUUUGGACAUGCCUAUUUCUUUGGAAUAUCCAAAUAUUCAUGAAGCUGUUGUGGCCUAUUUGGAACAGCUGAAUUCUGAAAACUACAGUAUUUAUAAACAAACUGCAGAGGCCGUUUAUUCAAUUGAAUGCACCUGUAACUUCCUGUCUGAUAUUGAGAAGGAGGGAGAGAAGGAUCUCUUAGAAUUAGUGGAGCUGGCGGAUCAAUCCUUGCGUAGCUUUUCCUAUCAUCAGCAUUUCCCCCUGAUAAAGGAAAUCGUCAACAUUUGUUCAAAGAUCUGGAAAUCUGCACAGGCCAGUCCAUUACUACAAGGAGAAAGUCAGAAGGUGCUUCUCCAUAUGUUGUCUCACCCGUUGCCACAAGUGAAAGUUGAAACUUACCAUUGCUGUCUGGAAAUCACUAAGGAAUGUUUAGGUGUUCAUAAUGUUGCUAAACCUGUGUCUUCACUUUGCAAUGGAAUUCAUUUUCUACUUCAUCCGAAAGUUCUGUAUGAAAUCUCUGUAUUUGGCAUUCAAGAGCCCAAAAGUGAGGUGAACACUGCUGCCAAGGCCAUUCUGUUAUACCUGCUUCAGGGACGACUGAUGAUGACAGCACUGACCUGGAACAAAUUUAUUGAAUCUCUCUGUCCUGUCAUUCCAGUACUGCAGGGCUAUGCUGACACAGAAGAUCCUUUGGGUAACUGCAUUCUCCUUUUAAGCAAAGCAAGUUCUGACACAGGAGAAGAGAUCCUUCCCUGUACUACCCGGUUAAAGUUCGUGCUGCGACUUUUGCUAGUGAAAAAGCCAUCGGUCCGUGCACUCGCAUUAAAGCUUUUAGCAUUCCAUCUUACCAGUGAAGAAGGGGCUGAUACAAAGCGCCCUCUAAUAGAUGCCAGAGUUCUCUCCAGAGUUACUAAUUUAUUCAUUGUGAAGAAGCCUAUUGAACUCAAACUGGAUGACAGAAGAGAGCUGGUUAUUAAGCUGGAGACUGUUGAAAAAGUAUAUGAAAUCUUCAUCUCAGAUGAUGUUGAUCUUGUUUUGAGAAAGUCAGCUGCCGAACAGUUAGCUGUGAUUAUGCAAGAUAUUAAAAUGCAUGCUGUGGUGAAAAAGUUACACUUAACUGACAAAAUAAUUCAGUAUUUAAAUGAAUGUGUGGGUCAAGAUGGCAAGGUUGUAGAAUGUUUGGUACAGCCAUGCCUGACACUCUUGAGGAAGCUUUUAUGUGGCGAUCCAGUCAUGCGUGUUUCCCUCUCACAACAGUCUUCUGUUUUGACACUGUUAUUCAGAGUUUCCUUAAUAUUUCAUGAAGAUUGUAUUGUCGUGACUGAAGUUGGAGCACUAUUUUGUCUUCUAUUAUUUGAUGAAGUAUCAAGAAUGGAUAUGUGGUCUGUUAAUCCUCCCAGUAAACCUUCUUUGCCAUCAGACUUCAGUUUGCCUGUUUCAGUUUUUAGAAGGUAUCAUCUACCUGUUCAUGUAAUCGGACACCAUGCUGUGAGUCCUUACUCCAUAGUUUUGCCUUUAUCUGCUGAUUGUUUGGCCUUGAAGCCGGUGUCAGAUAUGCUGAGAAUAGCUUGGAACCUGUCAUGGUAUCAUGGGAGUGAUAAUCUGUUGAAGCAAAUGAACUCUGAAACUAAAACACAAGAAUUUUUGGAUACAUUGAAGUUAUCUGCAGAAGACAUCCUCACUCUGAAGAUAACACACAUGGCUAGUGGGCUGCAGGACUGCCUCCAGUCCAUUGUUCAGGCUGCAACCCACAGGGAAGUUAGGGCUGCUGUUACUAGGAUGAGUUUUUAUCUUCUGAAUGACAGAUUGUCAUUAAAGGGUGGCCCUGGUUCGUGUGGGGCUACCUUGAAGUCCCUGGCUUGGCACAACACGCUGAACAGGUUUUUACAAGUGCUUCCUGCUUCCACUGAAGAUGAGAAACUGCUAAUAGAUAUCAUACAUUUUUUAAAUAAAUUAAUAAAAGAACAAAGAAAAAAUUCUUCAUUGGAACUUCUAAACUGGAUUCUAGAAUUACUUCUUAAACAUAGUGCAAACCCACUGUUGGACCUCUUGGUUCUGACAGAGUCACAGGCACGAGAAGAGACAGAUGAUAUCCGGACUGCUGUCAGGCAACAACUUCAGAAAGAACUGAUUGCUCUUUUUGACACCUUGCUGCUCAAUUUCAUGGACGUUAAUGACAGGAAAUGCUUGGAACUUCUUCACGUUUUUCAAACACAGCUGGCUCUGAAACUGCUCCAGUGUUUGAAAGUGACGGAUGCACCUCAUUUCUAUGGCCUGCCAUCCCUUGAGCGGACCUUACGAGGGAUGGCUAACCUCACUGCAUUUCUGGGAUGGAGCUCACAUUCUCCUCUCACAAAGCCUCUCGAUAUAUGUGUGAAGUACUUGUCAGGUCUCCUUGAGGUCAUUACUUCCUUUUAUGUGGAGCGUGGAGGAAAUGCUAUGUCCUUCAUGGGAAAAGGUGUUACAAAGAGCACAAUUCUUUGCUUGCUUCACUUAUCCCAUGAGAUGAUGGCCCAGGCUGGGAGCUUGGAGUGGAUGUCACUUUGGUUCUUACCUUUGGGUAGUCAUAGUGAAGAACAUAUUCCUACUCAACAGGGAUUGGCUUGGUUGAUUCCAUUAUGGGUUGAUCGGGACCCAGAGGUGAGAUUUACUUCACUGGGAUUAGGAUCAGCACUGACCACCCUUGAAACUGGCUGUGUUGCCUUGGCAAACAGUUGUCAGAACAUUUCUGGGGGGCUCUGGGGAACUGUGGUGAACAUUCUUCUGGACCAGUCCGAAUGUAGUAUGGUGCGCCGGGAGGCUGCAUUUAUUUUUCAGAAUCUCCUUGUAAUUCCAAUGCCUACAGAAAUUAUAAAGGAUUAUACUUGGCAGACCUCUACAUUUAAAAUAACAACAAUGACCACCAUGGGCUGGCUGUUCCUUACAGGGCCCUGUGUCCAUGAUGAGGACUCUGGCCUAUCCCUCAUUGGAAAACCUGCCCUUCAGGCUCUUUUAUAUCAUUGCCAUUUUUAUGAACAUUUGAAUCAGAUGGUAAAACAUUGUUACCUAGGGCGGUGUAUGUUUGAUUUGAAUUUUUCUGCUUUUGAUAGAAAUUCAGAAGGCAAUGAUUUAAAUGGUUUAGAUGACUCAUUCAAGUUUUGGAGGCCUCCAUCCAGGAUAUCCAGUGAGGAUCAAGAUCCAAGUUCUCUCUCCACCUCAGAAACAACGGUGGCACCUUCAUCGGAGAGUGCUGAAUUCCAGCCACUUGUGCAGUCACCAACACUUCUACCUGAAGUCUCCCAUGACCAGUUUGUGGCUCAAGGUCAUCAGGAAAGUACAUCACCGCGGCCACCUCAUGAUUCAUCUCUUUCUGCUCCCCUGCCCAAACUGUGUGUUUUUGUUACUCCAUCUCUUCUUUCAGCAAUGUGCAGCCUCUUGGACAACCUCUUGGUGAUUGCUCCCAGAGACACUGCAAAGGCUCUCCGACAAGCUCAUCUCAUCGAACUUCUCUCUAGCAUUGCAGAUGCUACCCUCAUACAGACAUGGGUCCAGGAACUCAGGACCCUACUGCCUUCAUCACCUCCAGCUGAACAUACUCAGGCUCAGGUGUCAUUUCUUCUGGAAUACCUAUCCUCUUUGUCCAGGCUUCUGCAGUCGUGUUUAUUGGUGGAGCCUGACCUUGUAAUUCAGAAUGAGCUUAUGAAACCUCUUAUCACUAAUAUCAUUGGAAUUCUCACCAUAUGCACCAAAGAUAUAUUAGAUACAGAGUUAAUAUCAGCUUUUUAUCUCACAUGGACACAUUUAUUUAAUCUUCUGGCCACGCUCCUGAGGAAGACUGGUGCCAUUGCACUCCCAUCUGUUAUUGUGGCCCUGGCCAAGCACUGGACAGCAAUGAUUGAGAUGUUCUGCAAAUGUGCGAGCUUGUCCGCCACGUGUCCUGCCCUGUAUACUGCCAGCUUGCAAUUCCUUUCUGUUCUCUUGACUGAAGAAGCAAAAGAGCAUCUCCAGGAUAAGAGCAAAACAAGUUUAUGCCAUAGUCCAACAAUGGCUUCACUUCUUGAUAAGUCUCAGGAAAAUCAGAAAUCUCAACGACUUAGUGAUGUAAUUCUUCAGUGCUAUGAAGAAAAAUCCUCCAAAGAUAUCCUGAAAAGAGUAGCUGCAAAUGCACUGAUGUCACUUCUGGCUGUCAGUAGAAGAGCGCAGAAAUGUGCUUUGGAAGCCAAUCUUAUAGACAACUGCAUGGAGCAGAUGAAACACAUAAAUGCACAACUUAAUCUAGAUUCUCUGAGGCCUGGGAAAGCAGCAUUGAAAAAAAAGGAGGAUGGUGUUAUUAAAGAGUUAAGCAUUGCCAUGCAGCUCCUAAGAAACUGUCUUUAUCAAAAUGAAGAAUGUAAAGAAGCAGCUCUUGAAGCUCACCUUGUCCCUGUCUUGCACUCUCUCUGGCCUUGGAUUUUGAUGGAUGAUUCAUUGAUGCAAAUUUCUCUGCAGCUUCUUUGCGUCUAUACUGCAAAUUUUCCAAAUGUCUGACACCUCUGGAGCUGUCCAUUUCGAUACCCAGCUCAGGUUGUCUCCAGUCAGCACGAAGAGAUAUAAACAGACCUUCAGGCUCUUGAACUUGAACUAUCAUUGAAGCAUAUGUGUACAGGAUUGUCCCUGCCUUCAUUCUGUGUUGCCAACUUUCUCCGUUCCUUAGGUCUGGUGGGAGUGUCUCGUUUCAGUGCAUUUUCCAGCUCCACUACUGUAUCUUUUGUUGGCUUACUCAUCUUUUAUGAGUUUCUUUUAUAGAAUAUAUUUGAUUCUGAUCAAUUUAUACUUAAGUUAGCCUCCUUGUAUGAACUUUCGCAAGUCAAUUAUACCUUAGGUUUACGUAUAAUACAGUCUUAUUGAUUUAACAUUAAAAUGGAUUUCUAAUUAAAAAAAACUUUUUUCUCCCUCAAUAAAUCUCAUUCAGUUGCUUAAUUUCCUGAGAAACACUGGACCCUGGAAAGCCUGUAGAUGCCACUGCCAGCUGCUGCCACUUCUAAACUGUGUGACCUUGAGCAACAAACUGGCUUUUCUGGGCUUCAUAUCUUUGUUGACCAAAUAUAGAAAAUAGUAUUUGUUCUGUCCCCCUCCCCAGGGAUAUUAUGUUCCUUGCCGGUUAUGUAAAAUGAAGACAUUAGACAAGUUAUCUCCCAUUUCUAAAAUCUGUUCCUCUACACAGGCCUUUAUUUAGAUGUUUUCUUUAGGAACAAUUAAAAACCCUAGUAUACUUAUUUUAUUCUUUUUACAAAAAUAAACCUGGUAUCUUAAAGUGCUCUAUUGACAUAAUUCGGCCCUCGGUGAGGACAGUAAAUCUAUGAGGUUGAAUGUAGACACCAACAUUAGCCUCCAUUGCUAAUUUGCAGUUCACAGGUUAAUGGCUAAGUCAUUUUGAUAGACAGAUAUGCUUUACCACUUAGUGUAUUCAAAAACUAAACAGGGAAAGGAAACUGAGAAGACAUUGUGAUAGGCGGUUAUUUUUGAAGGUUGCAGUUCUCUUUGUUGGUCAAGUUCUGGACAGCACCCUGUUCAAGCUGCACACAGAGGAGCCCUGGGCAACUCUCUGAUGCUGUGUGUCCUAAAGUUGGCUUCCCAGAUGCCACUGGAGAACACCACAGUUCAGCAGAUGGUUUUUAUGCUUCUUUCAAACCUGGCCUUGUCUCACGACUGUAAAGGAGUAAUUCAGAAGAGUAACUUCUUACAGAACUUCCUCUCUCUAGCAUUGCCAAAAGGAGGAAAUAAACAUCUCAGUAAUCUGACUAUUCUUUGGUUGAAGUUACUCCUGAAUAUGUCAUUUGGAGAAGAUGGGCAGCAAAUGAUUCUGAGGCUUCAUGGCUGUCUAGACUUACUAACAGAGAUGAGCAAAUACAAGCAUAAGAGCAGCCCUUUAUUGCCUCUUCUUAUCUUUCAUAAUAUUUGCUUCAGUCCUGCUAAUAAACCCAAGAUCCUGGCUAA